GUGCAGCAGUCGAGAAAUCUUUACAAUGUGCGAAAGCACGAUAAGGGAACUCUGAGUGCCUCCUAAGGAGGCUGUUCAGGUGUCUAAAAAGCACCUGAAGGAAGGGCUGGGUAAGACCGGUGCCAGCCGCCGCAGUAACACCGGCAGCCCAAGUGGUAGCCACGUUUAUUGGGUCUAAAGCGUCCGUAGCCGGCUGGGUAAGUCCUCCGUUAAAUCCAACGAUUCAAUCGUUGGGCUGCGGGGGAUACUGUCCAGCUUGGGGGGCGGGAGAGGCCGACGGUAUUCCCGGGGUAGGGGUGAAAUCCUAUAAUCCCGGGAGGACCACCAGUGGCGAAGGCUGUCGGCUAGAACGCGCCCGACGGUGAGGGAUGAAAGCUGGGGGAGCGAACCGGAUUAGAUACCCCCGGUAGU
Molecule: ribosomal RNA, 411 nt
Filed under: uncultured microorganism
Description: bacterial SSU rRNA
Rfam family: Archaeal small subunit ribosomal RNA
Source: RNAcentral